Long non-coding RNA from Leopardus geoffroyi (Geoffroy's cat), 2048 nucleotides. RefSeq lists it as uncharacterized. The record is from RefSeq and is a predicted model, not a curated record. The transcript has 4 exons. Lineage: Eukaryota; Metazoa; Chordata; Mammalia; Carnivora; Felidae.
UGGAUUUGAAAGGUGGCAGUGGAGAGAGAGCAUUCCUCUUGGAGGGUGGUUGUGGUUGUCCCUGGUGACAGAUGGACACCCCAAGGCCUUGUGGAUCCUGACUUGGCCAUGUUCUCACUCUAUACCUAGUUCAUCUUAUUGAUUGCUGGCCUCUCUGACCAUCAGCGGACCUAGGCCCACUGCUGGCUGCCUGCCAUUGAGCCCCAAAGGCAGCAGCUCCACGGAUUUUCCACGAAUUCCCCCUUCUGGGUCCUUUUCAGUGGCCGGGUGGACUUGGCCUCUUGAACAUCCUGUUUGCUCCAACUUGUCCACCUGAUGCAAGUGCACGUUAGGUGACUGUGUCAACAGAGUGGUGCCCGAGAACCCCCAGGACUCCGGAAAGGAACUGGUGUGGACCCACACGAAACCAGAAAGUGGACCCAAGGGCCAAGGAAUGCCCAUGAUGAGAGAGCAGGACUGUGGCCCAGACCGGGGCUGCUGCUGGUCUAUGCAGCGCCUUUGUGUGAAGUAGAAAAAAACGUGCCCCUUCUUUUUGGAGACGGAGCCUGGAGCAGCUGUUCUUGGGUUGGAAAGUGAAGCCUGGACUGGAUUUUGGCUCCUACUUCAGCAGGGGCCAACCUGCAUUACCACAUGCAGAAUGUAAUCAGGACUAGGAGCUUAUGUGAAGCUAGUUUUUAAAUCUCUCCCUAUCAAGGAAUUUGGCGAAUAGAUAUACACCUGGCUACAUGGAGAGCAACUUGUUGUGUACAUAAGGCUUGGAAAGAAAAUCAUUUAGAAUUGAAGAGGACAAGAGCCGUGUAAGGAAAGCAGUGUGCUUGGUGACAGGAACUUGGAAUGAGACUGGUGUAAAGAACCUGGCCGUGGUGUCAGACAGAGAAGAUUUGAAUCCCGUUGUUGUCACUUAUAAGCAGUAUGAUUCCCUGGGUUUUCUUCUGCGUCAAAUGGAAGUGAUAAUUGGAUAUGUUUCAUAAGGCGAUUGUGAAGGCUAGAUAGGAUAAUGGAGGUAAGUUCUCAUACAGUGCAUUGGGUUUAAUUUGUUAGUGAAUGCUAGUUGUUAUUUUAUGAGAAAUCUUAAUAUAUUUCUAGACACCGACUUAAAAGAAACAGAAAGAAAGGCAAAUUGAAUGAUCUGUAAGGUUCUUUAUUGCUCUAAGUUUUCAUACUUCUCCUUUGAAACACAAAGUUUAAGUAGGUUUUUCGUGACAGAAAUAUAUUUGUAGAUUAAGAUGGGGCCUGAAUGUUGUGCCAAAAUUGUAGAGUUUUGAGAAUAUGAUUUCCUUGGGGAAUAAAAUGGGAUUAUUUCUGUCUAUUUAUAAUCUGAACUGGUCCUUUCUUGGCGAUGUGAGGGAACAUGCAAAGUUUUAUAUUUAAGAAAUUUGGGAAACUGGUUGGUUAGGCAUUGGUCAAUACCAUCACUUUUGUCUAAUAGCUGCCUUUUGUUCUCUAUAAAAAUAAAGAGAUGGGGUCAUUUAUGCACUUAGGAGCAAUGGGAAAAUUUGUUCGAUGUUAUAUGUUUAGAGCAGUCCUAAAUCUUGCGUUUCCUGAAGCUUUUGAUGUGUGGAGGAUUUGAAUGGUCAUUCUCUGGAUUCAAGAAAAUUUAUAAUAUCUCUUAUAUAUCCAGCAACAGAUGUAUAAAAGUUUCCGGGGAGGGAAAUGGUUCUUUCAAAAUGACUUUUGGAUGAUACAUGUGUAAGCAAAUAAGACAGAUAUCGAUGAAAUGUCCUUCCAACACAAAACAAAUUGACCAGACGUGCAAAGGUUUUUGCCAAACCCCAGCAUUUGAUAUCCCCCAAAGACGUUUUGUUGCUGAUUUCCAGCUAAGGCUUGAAAGGUGGAAAAUUUGCUCGGAAAUGGUUUAGUAGAGCAAGAAGUAAGGCAGAAAGGCAAAGUGUCAGCGCUGAGGCACGAAGAAGCUUCCAAUCCUUUUCUUCAUAUCUGUGUAGAUAAUAUGCAAAGAAAAAAAACAGAAAGAAAACAAAAAGGUGAACUUGGAAAAAUUCCAAGUCAUAUGUGCUGAUUUCCCUCAAUUCUGGGGAAACGACAUGAAU